AGUUUGAUCAUGGCUCAGAGUGAACGCUGGCGGCAGGCCUAACACAUGCAAGUCGAACGGCAGCACAGAGGAGCUUGCUCCUUGGGUGGCGAGUGGCGGACGGGUGAGGAAUACAUCGGAAUCUGCCCAGUCGUGGGGGAUAACAUAGGGAAACUUAUGCUAAUACCGCAUACGACCUACGGGUGAAAGCGGGGGAUCGCAAGACCUCGCGCGAUUGGAUGAGCCGAUGUCCGAUUAGCUAGUUGGCGGGGUAAUGGCCCACCAAGGCGACGAUCGGUAGCUGGUCUGAGAGGAUGAUCAGCCACACUGGAACUGAGACACGGUCCAGACUCCUACGGGAGGCAGCAGUGGGGAAUAUUGGACAAUGGGCGCAAGCCUGAUCCAGCCAUGCCGCGUGGGUGAAGAAGGCCUUCGGGUUGUAAAGCCCUUUUGUCCGGAAAGAAAAGCUCGAGGUUAAUACCUUCGGGUUCUGACGGUACCGGAAGAAUAAGCACCGGCUAACUUCGUG
Molecule: ribosomal RNA, 508 nt
Filed under: uncultured bacterium
Lineage: Bacteria
Description: bacterial SSU rRNA
Rfam family: Bacterial small subunit ribosomal RNA
Source: RNAcentral